UCCGGUUUGUCACCGGCAGUCUCCCUAGAGUGCCCGGCCGAACCGCUGGCAACUAAGGACAAGGGUUGCGCUCGUUACGGGACUUAACCCAACAUCUCACGACACGAGCUGACGACAGCCAUGCAGCACCUGUCUCAGAGUUCCCGAAGGCACCAAUCCAUCUCUGGAAAGUUCUCUGGAUGUCAAGACCUGGUAAGGUUCUUCGCGUUGCAUCGAAUUAAACCACAUGCUCCACCGCUUGUGCGGGCCCCCGUCAAUUCAUUUGAGUUUUAACCUUGCGGCCGUACUCCCCAGGCGGUCUGCUUAUCGCGUUAGCUGCGCCACCGAAACCUCAAGGAUCCCAACGGCUAGCAGACAUCGUUUACGGCGUGGACUAC
Molecule: unclassified non-coding RNA, 377 nt
Filed under: uncultured Spongiibacteraceae bacterium
Lineage: Bacteria; Pseudomonadati; Pseudomonadota; Gammaproteobacteria; Cellvibrionales; Spongiibacteraceae
Description: contains 16S-23S intergenic spacer region
Source: RNAcentral